CACGCCGUAAACGAUGGAUACUAGGUGUAGGGGGUAUCGACCCCCCCUGUGCCGCAGUUAACACAAUAAGUAUCCCACCUGGGGAGUACGGCCGCAAGGUUGAAACUCAAAGGAAUUGACGGGGGCCCGCACAAGCAGUGGAGUAUGUGGUUUAAUUCGAAGCAACGCGAAGAACCUUACCAGGAAUUGACAUCCCUCGCAAUCUGUUGAAAGACAGAGUUCCCUCGGGACGGGGAGACAGGUGG
This 245-nucleotide ribosomal RNA is filed under the name uncultured Oscillospiraceae bacterium. RNAcentral describes it as "partial 16S ribosomal RNA". It matches the Rfam family "Bacterial small subunit ribosomal RNA", at positions 796 to 1041 of the family's 1533-position model. The record is from RNAcentral. Lineage: Bacteria; Bacillati; Bacillota; Clostridia; Eubacteriales; Oscillospiraceae.